GUCUCUGUAGCGUAAUAGAUAGCGCGUUGGACUUCAAAUCCAAAGGUUUUGGGUUCGCAUCCCUCCUGAGAUG
Non-coding RNA from Trichonephila inaurata madagascariensis, 73 nucleotides. NCBI's taxonomy places the organism in Eukaryota, Metazoa, Arthropoda, Arachnida, Araneae, Nephilidae. The record is from the annotation of a GenBank genome assembly.